RNAcentral lists this ribosomal RNA (2589 nucleotides) under Triticum aestivum (bread wheat). Its description in RNAcentral is "partial small subunit ribosomal RNA". The record is from RNAcentral. Lineage: Eukaryota; Viridiplantae; Streptophyta; Magnoliopsida; Poales; Poaceae.
AUGGUAGAGGACAAUCUUGAGGUGGGCGACUCUUGUUUGUCUUCACCAAAAUCUGUGCAAAAUUCUGUAGAGCCUAGCCCAACUGAAGGCACCAAUGAAGAUGAAAGCAGUAACCUUGAGAAAACAGCAUGUGCCAAUUUUGAGACACCAAUGCACCAAGAACUUCCUGCAAGCUUGAUAUUGAUUGACGAAGAAAGCAAUCUGCAAGAGACUUCGGUUGAACAAAAGGCUUCCAUUGGUGAUUCCAUAUCAUCAGAAGUAGACCACAGUGGGUUGCCAUCAAUCAAAGAAGAUUCUCACAGAUUUCCAUCUGCCUCUAACGAAGUUGAUGAAUCAAAGGAUGCCAUCAGUGACUUGAUGACAACGCAUUCUUCAGAAGAAAACACACAUGCAACACCACAGACUUCAGUUAGCUCAAGAGAAGAGGUCCAAUGUGCACCUUUGCAUAACGUUCAAGAUGGUGCUUCCUGUCCCGAUUCUGAGAAAACUGCUUGUGAAGCGCCACCUGCUAUCUUACAAAAGGUGAAAGAAGAUAAACCACGGUUCAUGCAUAGAUUGCCUGAUCGCCAAAUGAGCCUACGAGACACUAGACAGAAAAUGCCUGCGCCCGUGAGGAGAUUGAACAGUGGGAAUUAUUCGAGGACUGAUAAUUUUUUUGUCGAUACAACGAAGCCCAUUGAGUCAGUGAAGGUGGCUGCCUCAAGAUUUGGUGGGAGCAUCAACUGGAAAACGCGCAAAACAGAACCAGUGCAGGUGGGUGAUCAUGUCAAACUCGAGGUCAGUCUGCUGAAGAACGAAAUUUCAGAUUGCAAACAGCAAGCAGAAGCUGCAGAGGCUGCAAAGCUGUCUGUAUUCAAUGAGAUUAAGAGAACAAAUAAGCUUAUUGAAGACCUGAAACAUGAACUGGAGAGGGCAGAACAUGAAGAGGCAGAUGCCAAGGAGGAUUUGGAUUUCUUCCAAUUUAUUGUACCAGAGAUGGAGGAAGGAGGAGCUAGCGGUGAUAGUGUUGCAGGCGAGGAGAUUUUGAAAAAUAUCCAAGAACGGCACAAAGUACUGGUGUCCAAACUGAAGUUGGUCAAUGAUGAGUUAAAAGGGGUUCAGGAGAAUUAUGAUUCUUUAUUGAUUGAACAGGACAUUUCCAUUGGAAAAUCUCAGGCAGCCAUCAUAGUAUCCAAAGAGUCUGAGAAGCAAGCAGAGGAGCUCACUGUAGAGCUCAACAAACUGAAGGAAGUGUUGGAUUUGGCUCGUGCCACGCGCCAUGAUGCUGAAAAACACAAGGCGUGUGCAUCCUUAGCUCGAGAUGAGGACCGUCUUAAAUGGGAGAAGGAUCUAGGGCAAGCAGAAGAGGAGCUGAGUCAACUCAACAAGAAGCUUUCCUCUGUCGAAGAUCUGAAAUCAGAGCUCGAAAUAUCAUCCAGCUUGCUGGUGAAGCACAACGAAGAGCUAAAUGCAUAUGUGGAGGAAAAGCUAAUUAAAGAAGCACAAGAACAAGGAAACAAAACUGAUGAGACCAUGCAAGAAGAAACCAUUCUAUCAAGAGAUGAGCUUGAGGAGCAGAAGAAGAGCAUUGAUAAGGCGAGAGAUGAAGUCUGUGCCCUGAAAGUUGCUGCUGCAUCACUUCAGUCAGAGUUGAGCAAAGAGAAAGAAACACUUGCCACCAUGCAGCAGCUGGAAGCAAUGGCAUCGAUCACCAUUACUUCUCUCAAGGCAGAGAUUAAGCUGGCAAAACAGGAACUGGAAACAGUUCAGUCCAAGGAGAAGAAAUCCUGCGAUAGAAUGAGCGAGUUGCCUGGGCUUCUGCAAGCUGCAGCCCAGGAAGCUGAUGAGGCAAAGUCUCUCGCUGUGAAGGCACAGGAGAUGCUAAGAACGAGCAAGGAAGAAAUGGAGCAAGCGAAGGCUGAUCUGAGUACUAUGGAAUUCAGGCUCCAAGCAGUCCUGAAGGAGACGGAAGCAGCGAAAGAGUCUGAGAGGCUGUCGCUUGAUGCUCUCAGAGCUCUGGAGGAGAGCGAGCUUGCAGCAAGCAUUGCAGAACAAGGCUCUCCUGGAAUGAUCACACUGGACUUUCAUGAACAUGCGUCUCUCAUCGAGAAGUCCCAUCAGGCAGAAGAGCUUGUGCACGAGAAGAUAUCUUUUGCAGUUGCGCAGGUUGAGAUGGCCAAGGACUCCGAGUCUCUCGUCUUAGCAAAGCUCAGCGAAAUUUACAAGGUUCUGGAAGAACGAAAGCAAGCGCUGCUUGCUGCCCAAAAGCAGGCCGACAGUGCCACGGAAGGCAAGCUGGCCAUGGAACAGGAACUGAGGACAUGGAGGGAGGAGCAUGGGGAGCGUCGUAAGGCUACCGCUGAGGCUUUGAAAUCUGAAACUAAACAUUCAAACCCGGUGGUGAUCGUCGUUGAGCGCGAUCGGGACAUCAAGGGCACAUGCAAAGAAGACAGCUGCGCCUUGGUUCAUCCGCUGUCCUCGGAUAUGUCAGCCAGGAGCAGCCCUGCCGGCCCAGGUUUGCGCGAGAAGGCGAAGAAGGCAAAGAAGCCGCCGUUCCUCCGGCGCAUGAUGAUGUUCCUGGCCAGGAGGAGGCUCACAGCAGCGGCGUAA